AGAUGGUAGGAUAGAGGCCUACCAUGGUUUUAACGGGUAACGGGGAAUUAGGGUUCGAUUCCGGAGAGGGAGCCUGAGAAACGGCUACCACAUCCAAGGAAGGCAGCAGGCGCGCAAAUUACCCAAUCCCGACACGGGGAGGUAGUGACAAUAAAUAACAAUACAGGGCUCUUACGGGUCUUGUAAUUGGAAUGAGUACAAUUUAAAUCCCUUAACGAGGAACAAUUGGAGGGCAAGUCUGGUGCCAGCAGCCGCGGUAAUUCCAGCUCCAAUAGCGUAUAUUAAAGUUGUUGCAGUUAAAAAGCUCGUAGUUGAAUUUCGGGAUUCUACCGUUGGUCGGGCUAACAAGUCUGUACUGGUGUGUAGAAUUUCUACCUUCUGGAGAACUAUCAUGUUAUUAAUUUAGCGUGGUGGGAAACCAGGACCUUUACCUUGAAAAAAUUAGAGUGUUCAAAGCAGGCUUACGUCUGAAUACAUUAGCAUGGAAUAAUAGAAUAGGACGGUGGUCCUGUUUUGUUGGUUUCUGAAUCACCGUAAUGAUUAAUAGGGAUAGUUGGGGGCAUUAGUAUUCAAUUGUCAGAGGUGAAAUUCUUGGAUUUAUUGAAGACUAACUUCUGCGAAAGCAUUUGCCAAGGAUGUUUUCAUUAAUCAAGAACGAAAGUUAGGGGAUCGAAGACGAUCAGAUACCGUCGUAGUCUUAACCAUAAACUAUGCCGACUAGGGAUCGGACGAUGUUAAAUUUAUGACUCGUUGCCCCC
RNAcentral lists this ribosomal RNA (758 nucleotides) under Scutellospora calospora. Its description in RNAcentral is "SSU rRNA". It matches the Rfam family "Eukaryotic small subunit ribosomal RNA", at positions 323 to 1087 of the family's 1831-position model. The record is from RNAcentral. Lineage: Eukaryota; Fungi; Glomeromycota; Glomeromycetes; Diversisporales; Gigasporaceae.